This is a long non-coding RNA of Pteropus alecto (black flying fox), 1227 nucleotides long. RefSeq lists it as uncharacterized. The record is from RefSeq and is a predicted model, not a curated record. The transcript is spliced from 2 exons. Lineage: Eukaryota; Metazoa; Chordata; Mammalia; Chiroptera; Pteropodidae.
UCCUGGCUUCCCAAAUUCUGCUUCUCGGGAUGUGGUUUGGAGUUAGACACCUCCAACAGAGAGGGCCCCAAGGGAAGCAACAACCCCCUAGGGCGGCCUCAAAAGGGACCCCUGCGGUUUAACAUCAUUCACAAGCACCAGUAAGGCACUAUGAAAGACACCGUUCCAGGAGUUUGCCAAACACAGCCGCACUUUGUGUUCGCUACUUUACAGACUGAGACGUUGAGGCGUGAAGUUCUUUAACUCGUUCGAGGUCACACGAUUGGGCAAGUAGUGGAGCCGAGAUUCUCCUCAGGCACCUCUGCUCUCUCAGCCUCUUUGCCCUUGUGACAGGCGGCGCCGAGCGGCCCCACAGCCUAAUUCCCACCUGGAACCCCAAGAGGAGGAGGUGGACCCUCGAUGCGGGCCAACGCGUAACUGAUUGGCGCUUCCAGGAGUCCAGCUCCUGUGCUAUGUGAGGCACUAUGCUGUGUGCUGGACAGUGCUGAACAUUCGGGGUCAUCUGCCCAGGGUCAAGGGUCACUCUCCAGACCUUCAAGGUUCAAGGUUGUGACUGCCUCAAGUAGGGGUGGGGGGCUGUGAGGCCUCCCACCCAAAAGAUCAGAAAUAAAACUGCCACAAGGAUUGCAUUUUCAAAAUCAAUCCAGCAGGUGUUACUCACCCACCCCCAUAUACUUCUACAGGGUGUGGUGAGGGUGUGGGGGGGAAGUAAGAGAGAAAUUAAACUCUUGAAUUCCUUGAAAUCCCAGUCUGAAGAUCACCUCUGGACCAGUGAAGAGGAGCCAGGACCACAGAAGGAUCAUUCCAGAGCAUUCCAUACAUCUGCUCUGUGACCUUCCUGAAUCUUCUUUUGCCAAUUAGAUCACAGAUUAUGAGUUCAAUUAAAAAUAAACCUAGUUAAUAAAAAUAAGCUAAAAAUUUUUUUUUGCAAACAUUAUAGUAAGAGGAUCGACUUCUAUCCGGCCAGGCCCUGGUUACAUGACACUUCCGGGCAGAAGGCUCCAUCUUCCCAUUGAAAGGAACGACCUGGCACUGGACUGUACACAUCAAGUACUGGGCUCAGUUAAGGGGUCUCGUGUGACCUUGGAGCCUUGCCAGAAGAGGAGGAAAAAUUACUGCAUGUCUGCAAAAUCCUUCUGUUUCUCCAAGCCUGUUCCCAAACAGCAUCUUCUUUCUGGUGCUUUUGCUGUCAUGGCUUGUUACAUAUUAAAUGGUUUUUAAAUAUUG